ACUGACAGCCAUGGUUACCGCGGCUGCUGGCACGGAGUUAGCCGGUGCUUCUUCUGUGAGUGAUGUCCUUCCUGCCGGCUAUUAACCCGCAGGCCUUCUUCCUCACUGAAAGUGCUUUACAACCCGAAGGCCUUCUUCACACACGCGGCAUGGCUGGAUCAGGGUUGCCCCCAUUGUCCAAUAUUCCCCACUGCUGCCUCCCGUAGGAGUCUGGGCCGUGUCUCAGUCCCAGUGUGGCUGAUCAUCCUCUCAGACCAGCUACGGAUCGUCGCCUUGGUGAGCCGUUACCUCACCAACCAGCUAAUCCGACAUAGGCUCAUCCGAUAGCGCGAGGCCCGAAGGUCCCCCGNUUUCCCCCGUAGGGCGUAUGCGGUAUUAGCCUGGGUUUCCCCCAGGUUAUCCCCCGACUACCGGGCAGAUUCCUAUGCAUUACUCACCCGUCCGCCGCUCGCCACCAGGGAGCAAGCUCCCCGUGCUGCCGCUCGACUUGCAUGUGUUAGGCCUGCCGCCAGCGUUCAAU
Molecule: ribosomal RNA, 520 nt
Filed under: uncultured bacterium
Lineage: Bacteria
Description: partial 16S ribosomal RNA
Source: RNAcentral